Molecule: long non-coding RNA, 357 nt
Filed under: Hordeum vulgare
Lineage: Eukaryota; Viridiplantae; Streptophyta; Magnoliopsida; Poales; Poaceae
Description: long non-coding RNA (HVUL_LNC012988)
Source: RNAcentral
UUUGUUUUUGUCUGUUUGUGUUCAGGCGUAAGUCGCACCUUUGCCCUAGGCAACCUAUACACGACUAUGCCACCUAUCUUAUCUUAAUGAAUGCAUUAGUAUUUUCGGCACUUGAUUGAUUGCACUUGCACUAUACCACCCCCUUGGCACUCCCCUCUAUGCCACUUUCCUCUCGCCUUUAUCAACAACCAAAGGCCAGCAAGACCGGACUCAUUGAGGAUCCACCUCGACGGACCACUAACACUGAAGACCUUGACUACAACGUUCUCAAGCAGAUGCGACCUCGUAGAGAUGUGCUUUUCACUCAAGAUUCGGUACCCUCCCUAGACUAACCUAGAUCUCACAAGCUACCCUAGC